This 496-nucleotide ribosomal RNA is filed under the name uncultured bacterium. Its description in RNAcentral is "bacterial SSU rRNA". It matches the Rfam family "Bacterial small subunit ribosomal RNA", at positions 29 to 524 of the family's 1533-position model. The record is from RNAcentral.
AAUGAACGUUGGCGGCGUGGAUUAGGCAUGCAAGUCGAGCGAGAAACUCUUUUUGAUCUUUCGAGUGAAAAAAGAGCGGACAGCGGCGAAAGGGAGAGUAACGCGUAGAUUACGUACCCGAGGGUUCAGGAUAGCGGGGGGAAACCGCCGGUAAUACUGAAUAAUGUUUCCGAACCAAAGAUUUAUCGCCCUCGGAGCGGUUUGCGUACUAUUAGUUUGUUGGUGGGGUAAAGCCUACCAAGGCUAAGAUGGUUAGCGGGUGUGAGAGCAUGGCCCGUCUCACUGGGACUGAGACACUGCCCAGACACCUACGGGUGGCUGCAGUCGAGAAUCUUCCGCAAUGGACGAAAGUCUGACGGAGCGACGCCGCGUGCGGGAUGAAGGCCCUCGGGUUGUAAACCGCUGUCAGUGGGUGGAAUGUAUUGAGGUUCUCCUCUUUAUUUUGACCUAACGCAGAGGAAGUCCGGGCUAAGUACGUGCCAGCAGCCGCGGUAAU